This 425-nucleotide ribosomal RNA is filed under the name Pasiphaea romenskyi. Its description in RNAcentral is "partial 16S ribosomal RNA". Lineage: Eukaryota; Metazoa; Arthropoda; Malacostraca; Decapoda; Pasiphaeidae. The record is from RNAcentral.
AAUUGUCUUUUAAUUGGGGGCUGGAAUGAAUGAUUGGACAAAAGACAAGCUGUCUUUUUUGUAGGAAUGUGAAUUUCACUUUUAAGUGAAAAGGCUUAAAUAUAUUAAGGGGACGAUAAGACCCUUUAAAACUUAACAAAAUUAUUAUAAUUUAUAAAAUAAGGUGUGAAAGAUAUUAUUUUAUAUUUUGUUUUAUUGGGGCGAUAAUGAUAUAGUAAGUAACUGUCAAAGAUAUGAGAUAAUUAUAAUUAGAAGUUAAGAUCCUUGAAUUUAAAGAUUAAAAGAAAAAGUUACUUAAGGGAUAACAGCGUGAUUUUUUUAGAGAGUUCUAAUCGAAGAAAGUAGUUGCGACCUCGAUGUUGAAUUAAGAUUAAAUUAAAAUGCAGCUUUUUUAAUAAUAAGUCUGUUCGACUUUUAGAAUCUUA